CCUACGGGAGGCAGCAGUGAGGAAUAUUGGUCAAUGGACGAGAGUCUGAACCAGCCAAGUCGCGUGAAGGAUGAAUGUUCUAUGGGUUGUAAACUUCUUUUAUAUGGGAAUAAAAUGAUGCACGUGUGCCUGUUUGUAUGUACCAUAUGAAUAAGCAUCGGCUAACUCCGUGCCAGCAGCCGCGGUAAUACGGAGGAUGCGAGCGUUAUCCGGAUUUAUUGGGUUUAAAGGGGGCGUAGGUGGUUUGUUAAGUCAGCUGUGAAAGUUUGGGGCUCAACCAUAAAAUUGCAGUUGAAACUGGCUGUCUUGAGUACAGGAGAGGUAGGCGGAAUGCGUGGUGUAGCGGUGAAAUGCUGAGAUAUCGCGAAGAACUCCGAUUGCGAAGGCAGUUUACUGGACUACAACUGACGCUGAGGCACGAAAGUGUGGGUAUCAAACAGGAUUAGAUACCCGUGUAGUC
This 460-nucleotide ribosomal RNA is filed under the name uncultured bacterium. RNAcentral's name for it is "partial 16S ribosomal RNA". It matches the Rfam family "Bacterial small subunit ribosomal RNA", at positions 338 to 795 of the family's 1533-position model. The record is from RNAcentral.